RNAcentral lists this ribosomal RNA (378 nucleotides) under uncultured eukaryote. Its description in RNAcentral is "SSU rRNA". It matches the Rfam family "Eukaryotic small subunit ribosomal RNA", at positions 587 to 969 of the family's 1831-position model. The record is from RNAcentral.
AGCUCCAAUAGUGUAUAUAGUGUUGCGGUUAAGAAGCUCGUAGUUGGAUCUCGGCAGCCAGGGGGCGGUUCGCUCCAAAGCGUGAUUGCUCCAUUUGGCUGUGUGAUUGGCGGAUGUCUCGGGGUGCUCUUCGUUGAGUGUCCCGCGGCGCCGUCAGGUUUACUUUGAAAAAAUUAGAGUACUCAAAGCAGGCUUUUCAGGCUUGAAUAUUCGUGCAUGGAAUAAUGGAAUAGGAACUCGUUCCUAUUUUGUUGGUUUUCGGGAAUUGAGUUAAUGAUUAAUAGGGACAAUUGGGGGCAUUAGUAUUCAAACGACAGAGGUGAAAUUCUUGGACCGUUUGAAGACUAACUACUGCGAAAGCAUUUGCCAAGAGUGUAU